UACGACGUAUCUAGAGUUUGUAUCCUGGCGUCAGGAUGAACGCUGGCGGCGUGCAUAACACAUUCAAGUCGAACGGUGACGCACCUUCGGGUGCAGAUCAGUGGCGGACGGGUGAGUAACGCGUGAGCAACCUGCCUGUGAAAGAGGGAUAACACAUGGAAACGUGUGCUAAUACCGCAUGAAGCAACUUAGUCGCAUGUCUGUGUUGUUAAAGGGAAACCGAUCACAGAUGGGCUCGCGUAUGAUUAGGCAGUUGGUGAGGUAACGGCUCACCAAACCGACGAUCAUUAGCCGAACUGAGAGGUUGAACGGCCACAUUGGAACUGAGAAACGGUCCAG
RNAcentral lists this ribosomal RNA (339 nucleotides) under uncultured bacterium. Its description in RNAcentral is "bacterial SSU rRNA". It matches the Rfam family "Bacterial small subunit ribosomal RNA", at positions 1 to 334 of the family's 1533-position model. The record is from RNAcentral.